Molecule: ribosomal RNA, 374 nt
Filed under: uncultured bacterium
Lineage: Bacteria
Description: bacterial SSU rRNA
Rfam family: Bacterial small subunit ribosomal RNA
Source: RNAcentral
AUUGAACGCUGGCGGCGUGCCUAACACAUGCAAGUCGCACGCGAAAGGGAGCAAUCCCGAGUAGAGUGGCGGACGGGUGAGUAACGCGUAGGAAUCUACCUAGUAGUGGGGGACAACCCGGCGAAAGCCGGGCUAAUACCGCAUACGACCUAAGGGUGAAAGCCGGGGAUCGCAAGACCUGGCGCUAUUAGAUGAGCCUGCGUCCGAUUAGCUAGUUGGUGAGGUAACGGCUCACCAAGGCAACGAUCGGUAACUGGUUUGAGAGAACGACCAGUCACACUGGGACUGAGACACGGCCCAGACUCCUACGGGAGGCAGCAGUGGGGAAUCUUGGACAAUGGGGGCAACCCUGAUCCAGCGACGCCGCGUGUGUG